GACGAACGCUGGCGGCGUGCCUAAUACAUGCAAGUAGAACGCACAGUUUAUACCGUAGCUUGCUACACCAUAGACUGUGAGUUGCGAACGGGUGAGUAACGCGUAGGUAACCUGCCUGGUAGCGGGGGAUAACUAUUGGAAACGAUAGCUAAUACCGCAUAAUAUUAAUUAUUGCAUGAUAAUUAAUUGAAAGGCGCAAUUGCACCACUACCAGAUGGACCUGCGUUGUAUUAGCUAGUAGGUGAGGUAACGGCUCACCUAGGCGACGAUACAUAGCCGACCUGGGAGGGUGAUCGGCCACACUGGGACUGAGACACGGCCCAGACGCCUACGGGAGGCAGCAGUAGGGAAUCUUCGGCAAUGGACGAAAGUCUGACCGAGCAACGCCGCGGGAGUGAAGAAGGUUUUCGGAUCGGAAAGCUCUGUUGUAAGAGAAGAACGGGUGUGAGAGUGGAAAGUUCACACUGUGACGGUAUCUUACCAGAAAGGGACGGCUAACUACGUG
Molecule: ribosomal RNA, 505 nt
Filed under: uncultured bacterium
Lineage: Bacteria
Description: partial 16S ribosomal RNA
Rfam family: Bacterial small subunit ribosomal RNA
Source: RNAcentral